This 451-nucleotide ribosomal RNA is filed under the name uncultured bacterium. RNAcentral's name for it is "bacterial SSU rRNA". It matches the Rfam family "Bacterial small subunit ribosomal RNA", at positions 29 to 525 of the family's 1533-position model. The record is from RNAcentral.
AACGAACGCUGGCGGCAGGCCUAACACAUGCAAGUCGAGCGCGCCCUUCGGGGUGAGCGGCGGACGGGUUAGUAACGCGUGGGAAUAUGCCCAGAUCUAAGGAAUAGCCACUGGAAACGGUGAGUAAUACCUUAUACGCCCUUCGGGGAAAGAUUUAUCGGAUUUGGAUUAGCCCGCGUUAGAUUAGGUAGUUGGUGGGGUAAUGGCCUACCAAGCCUACGAUCUAUAGCUGGUUUUAGAGGAUGAUCAGCAACACUGGGACUGAGACACGGCCCAGACUCCUACGGGAGGCAGCAGUGGGGAAUCUUGGACAAUGGGCGCAAGCCUGAUCCAGCCAUGCCGCGUGAGCGAUGAAGGCCUUCGGGUCGUAAAGCUCUGUCCUAAGGGAAGAAUAAUGACGGUACCUUAGGAGGAAGCCCCGGCUAACUACGUGCCAGCCGCCGCGGUAAUU